UUAUUUUGUUUGCUUGAGGGCAAGCAAAAUCUAAGUAUGAGGCGGCGUUUUUGAGUUUGUGUUAUGUUGAGUCAGUUUUUAUGUUGUGUUUUGGGUGUUGUGAGCCUCGUGAUUGUUGAAGUAUUAGUGAUAAGCAUGCUGCCGGUUGAGUUGUGUGAUGAACUUGAGAUUUGAUACUUGAGAUUUGGGAUUUUGAGAUUGAAAAUUUUGUGUUUUAAUUGAAUGACAUUUGGGAUGACAAAUAAGAGCAAUAAUGAGUAAAAAGUUACAUAUAAGUGAGAAUUGAGCUUAAUAGAGUAGAUCAAUCUCUACUAAUCUUCUUUUUGAGUGGUUUGUUAUUCAUGAAGUUGUGAUAUGUUGUGAGUCAUUGGUGAUGCAUGAUAGAAGGCACUAGGGUAGCCAUUUGGCCUGCUUUUAAAUUCCUACCUAAACAUUAACCCUUAGUGAGCCAUUUUUGAAGUCUUGACCAUGUUCUUUCUUAUUAGUCACUAAAUAAUUAAGCCAAGGCCUGUUUUGAACUAUCUCUUUGGCCCAGUGAUGCAUGUCUAAUUCCGAACUUCAUUCCAUUAAUUACUAGAGAAAGUUAAGCUGUGUUCUUAUGUGCUGUUUGCCCAAACUGCUGUCUUGUGCAAAAUGAUAAGGAUCUGUGAUCCGUCUGGCCAAAUAGUGGCAUUGAUCAGUUGAGUUCUUGGGAUGGGAGCAGUUUUGGGAGACGAUUUGUGGAUAUUUUGUAGAUGAUGAUUGCAUGUUGAUUGAGGAUAUAAAAAAAGAAGGGUGCUGACAAAAAAAAAAAAACAAAAAAACAAAGAAAAAAAAGAAAAUGUUGCACCAGUUUGAGUUGAGCAUGUAGUAUCAUUGUUAUUAUUGGAGUUUUUCCCCUAAGUUUAGUUGCUUUCUUUCUUUCUCUAUGAACUUGAAAUUGUGGAUGAUGGUUUGGAUUAGAUGUGCACACUUUGAUUUUCAAUGUUUAAGCUUAGGACCCCUAGGAUCUUGCCAACAUCAUGAAUGGUCCUUAGCC
This 1018-nucleotide long non-coding RNA is filed under the name Salvia miltiorrhiza (redroot sage). RNAcentral's name for it is "long non-coding RNA (SMIL_LNC003229)". Lineage: Eukaryota; Viridiplantae; Streptophyta; Magnoliopsida; Lamiales; Lamiaceae. The record is from RNAcentral.